GCGCACAACUCUGAAGAGUGGCCGGGAUUCGUCGUCCCGGCCCACCGCAGGAGCAAGCCCGCCACCACGGUGGGUGAAUCUCUCAGGUCACAAACAGAGGGGGUCAU
Hydrogenophaga sp. A37 is the source of this 107-nucleotide non-coding RNA. Lineage: Bacteria; Pseudomonadati; Pseudomonadota; Betaproteobacteria; Burkholderiales; Comamonadaceae. The record is from Rfam.